Sus scrofa (pig) is the source of this 239-nucleotide non-coding RNA. The record is from RefSeq and is a predicted model, not a curated record. Lineage: Eukaryota; Metazoa; Chordata; Mammalia; Artiodactyla; Suidae.
CCCAGCAGCCCUGGGAGCUAUUUGCUUUCCUAUUACAGUAAAGACUUUGCUUGCUGCCUUUGUGUUCACGAAGUUCAUUCCACAGCUUUGCAAACAACUCAGAUUCUGGUAACAUCUUUCCAGCAUCAUCUUUUGGGGGCUCAUCCAGGAUCCAAUCCAGUACACCAUCGCUCACCAGAUGGGAGCCACAUCCUCAAGCCUGGUACACACUUCAAUAGCAACUCCUCUGACAUGUGCCU